CAUGCAUGUCGCGACGCAUUGCGCGACCUUCGCACGCACAUCCGGCAAUGACGGUGACGCGCGCGGCAUUACGUGUUUUCUCGUUCCGGCGAAUACGAAGGGCGUGAAGAUCGAGGAAUAUCUCUGGACCUUNNNUCACCCGCGCGUCAGCUUCACCGAUGUCUUCGUGCCGGACGAUGCAUUGUUCGGCGAGGUCGGACGCGGUCUGUCGCUGGCGCAGUGUUUUGUGCAUGAGAACCGGAUUC
This 245-nucleotide unclassified non-coding RNA is filed under the name Hevea brasiliensis (rubber tree). The record is from RNAcentral. Lineage: Eukaryota; Viridiplantae; Streptophyta; Magnoliopsida; Malpighiales; Euphorbiaceae.